Long non-coding RNA from Dama dama (fallow deer), 1851 nucleotides. RefSeq lists it as uncharacterized. The record is from RefSeq and is a predicted model, not a curated record. NCBI's taxonomy places the organism in Eukaryota, Metazoa, Chordata, Mammalia, Artiodactyla, Cervidae. The transcript has 3 exons.
GCGGCCACGCUUUUCCUCGGGGCUUCAGAAAUCCAUCCAUUAGUUCCUAUCAGCCUGCACGUCUCGCACGCAGAUGAGAGAUUUGCCUGAAAAUCCCUGUCGGAACACUUUGCAGCUUGAUGGCUUCCUUCAAGUGCAGACUGUAAAUCAGGGAGACUUACUGACUUGGUGAAUCAGCUGAAUGGACAAGGAAGUAGACUCUCGACUGGCAAGAACUAGCGAUCCUUUGUUUCUCAUCACGAAAAGAGUUAUGUGUGCAGAUCCCAACUCAUGUAUCACUUCUCUGCUCAGAACCUGGUUUCCUCAUCUGUAAAGCAGGCUAUGUACUGUCUGCUGAGAGAAGGUUUCAUCUCACAGGGGCUUUAGCCCCACUGAUGGUUUUCUGGCUCAAAGAGGGAACAUCGGGGAAACCUUACAGACCUUAUCACGUGGGCAGCCACUAUAAACUGCAGUUGUGAUUCUCAGCCCUGGCUUCACAUUUAAAUCAUGUGGGGGAGACUUUGGAAAAAAUGUGUGCUGGUACCCCCUUUCCGAGUUAGAAUUGCUACAGGUGCAGCCUGUGCAUCCUGGUUUUAAAAGCUUCUUAGGUUCAGCCGCUGGUUGAGAACCACUUUUUGAGGAAGGAGCACUUGAGGGGUUUCAGGUGAGAAGGACCAAGGUGAACCCCAGGUCUGUCCCUUACUGCUUAUGCAGGGGACCUCCUUCACUUGUGGGUCCUGGUUCCCUCGUGUCUGGCUUUAAUGGAAGAAAGCCCUAAUGGCUGAUGGAGGCCACCGUAGCAAGUAUCCUACACAUUACCUUCUGCUUCACCCUCCGGGAACCUUUGUGAAAAUUCCGUGCAUUUCACAGCCAGGGAAAACCGAGACGCCGAGAGGUCGAGUGACUUGUCUGGGACCUGAGGCAGUGCUGGCUUUGAACUCUCCUGUCUCCGGGCCCUCUCAGUCACCGUGUUCCUAUGUUGUCCACUGAUUGCCUGAAACGCCCCUCCCUCCCUUGCUGGCAGAGAGCCUGUCAGGUUGGGAGGGCCAUUCUCUGGACGAGAAUCGGGCAUUGAGUUAAAAUGUGCAUGCAAAGCAAUGAAUGAGUGCAACAUCCAUUGCACAGUCCAGAAAAGUUUAGGAAAGAGGUUUUGCUGAGCUGGGGUCUCCCGCCCUGCAGAGCCUCAGCCCAUCUCACCACCACCCCUACCCCCCUGGGGCAAGCUCACUUCCAUGUGGAUUCCUAACACGGGACCAGGUAGACUCUCUGGACUGAAAUGAUCCCAGGAGGUUUGUGUCCAGUGGACCACAGUCAGGUGUCUGCCGUGGCUUUCCGGCCCUGCCUUCCAUUCUCCCAGGGCCGAGUGCGUGGACCUGUUCCGAGAGAGCCCUUUUCAGGUGGUGACGUCACAGCAUGGCUUACUGUGCAGCUCCUUUGCCCUAGCCUGGCAGCGAUGGGGGAGCAGGUUGCCAUGGUUACCGUAGACACUGCCGUGGAACUUGCAUGAGGCCCACUGGGCACUGGCCCGGUCUACGUCUGCAGCUCGGCUGUCUGUCUUCCAUGAGUUCCCCUGAAACUUGGUAUUGAAGCCUGACUACCUAUUUAGAGGAGAAGAGCAUGAGUGACGUGGCAUCUUUUGAGGGGAUCUUCCUGACCCAGGGAUCGAACCUGUGUCUCCUGUUGCUCCUGCAUUGUGGGCAGAUUCUUUACCGCUGAGCCACCAGGGAAGCCUUCAGGAACAAUGGCAAAGUGUCUUCCAUUGGUUUUUUAAUUUUCUGAGCCUGCAGUACAGCAUCAGUAUGGUAAGCUAGGACAGCGGUCCUGCCUGCUUGAGGCAGUGGGGAAUGUGGAUCAGAGAGGUUAGCCGCUCAG